RNAcentral lists this long non-coding RNA (579 nucleotides) under Homo sapiens (human). RNAcentral's name for it is "novel transcript, antisense to MMP16". The record is from RNAcentral. Lineage: Eukaryota; Metazoa; Chordata; Mammalia; Primates; Hominidae.
CAGGAUAGCACAGAAGCAGAGACUUUAAGUCUAAACAGACCUAGAUUCAGAGCCGACCCGAUGCUGCUUGAAGAAGGCUGGAGGUAUGUUAAGGAGACAAGGGCUGUCAAGAAGCAGGGAUGUCUCUGGAAAGGCUCUAGCGAGGACUUCCAUUACUAUGUUGAAUAAAACUGUUCCCCUUGCUGCUGCCAUGUGAAGAAGGACAUGUUUGCUUCCCCUUCUGCCAUCAUUGUAAGUUUCCUAAGGCCUCCCUACCCCUGAGGAACUGUGAGUAAAUUAAACCUCUUUCCUGGCUGGGCACGGUGGCUCAUGCCUGUAAUCCUAGUCCUUUGAGAGUCCUAGGUGGGCAGAUUGCCUGAGCUCAGGAGUUCGAGACCAGCCUGGGCAACAUGAUGAAACCCCAUCUACUAAAAAUACAAAAAGUUAGCCAGGUGUGAUGGCAUGCACCUGUAGCCCCAGCUACUCAGGAGGCUGAGCCAUGAAAAUUGCUCAAACCCAGGAGGCAGAGGUUGCUGUGAGCCGAGAUUGUGCCACUGUACUACAGCCUGGGCAACAGAGCAAGACUGUCUCAAAAAAAAA